Molecule: ribosomal RNA, 397 nt
Filed under: uncultured Hypotrichia
Lineage: Eukaryota; Ciliophora; Spirotrichea
Description: SSU rRNA
Rfam family: Eukaryotic small subunit ribosomal RNA
Source: RNAcentral
CAAUAGCGUAUAUUAAAGUUGUUGCAGUUAAAAAGCUCGUAGUUGGAUUUCUGGGAGGGCGCCAAUGUCCGCUUGUUCGCGUGCGCAGCGGCGCCCUUCCAUCCUUCUGUUAACGUUUCUUGGUAUUCAGUUACUGGUUUCGGGCUCAGAUAUUUUACCUUGAGAAAAUUAGAGUGUUCCAGGCAGGCUUGCGCCGGAAUACAUUAGCAUGGAAUAAUAGAAUAGGACUUUAGUCUCCUUUGUUGGUUUGAGGGACUGAAGUAAUGAUUAAUAGGGAUAGUUGGGGGCAUUAGUAUUUAAUUGUCAGAGGUGAAAUUCUCGGAUUUGUUAAAGACUAACUUAUGCGAAAGCAUUUGCCAAGGAUGUUUUCAUUAAUCAAGAACGAAAGUUAGGGGAU